This 684-nucleotide long non-coding RNA is filed under the name Bos indicus x Bos taurus (hybrid cattle). RNAcentral describes it as "lncRNA (ENSBIXG00005008335.1)". Lineage: Eukaryota; Metazoa; Chordata; Mammalia; Artiodactyla; Bovidae. The record is from RNAcentral.
UUCAUUUGCUCCAUAUAAUUCUGCUUCACCUUUGCUUGCAGAUCUUUCUACUGGAAGUCAGCAGAAUGCCUCUGUCUGGAGAAAUGUGUGUUGACCAAAGGGAAAGAUUGGCUCAAGUGAGAACCGUGAUGGCUACCAGCAUCAGCUCCCUAGAUACUCUCAAAGCAAGGCCAGGCCCUAUUCAGGAAGCAGACGCAUUUUUCCUCAACUCUCCUAUUCAGGCAUUAACAGUGUGUAAAUGCAAUGUAAGCGCAACCUACAACAGCACGAAGUUAGCAGAAGGAAAAUGGACUCAGGAGCCUAGCAAAAGAAGGGAGCCUACAAAAAAAGCAAACAAGGGAAAAAUAAAAGGGUUUGGCCUCUGUGGUUGAUGGCUCAGCCUUGGCAACUGCCCCGGGGGAAGCUGCCUGCCCCAGCCUCUUAGAGAACAGUCUCACAAGCCCUGAUUGAAGACCUCAUCAGCCACUUUUGUUCAGUCCUGGGUGACCACGCAAGACAUGUUUAGAUUUUUGCUGCUUCUUUAAAUAACCAAAUAGAAGUCUGUAUUUGUCCUUAAAGAAAACAUUCAAAACCCACCCCACCAAUAUCAGAGUGACUCUCUUGUUCUGUGGAAAUUUACAGAACAGCAGCACAAGAAAAUCCCUCGGAAAUAAAAGCAUGUAAAAAAAGAUGGAAAACUGAAUU